GAUCCUGGCUCGAGGACGAACGCUGGCGGCGUGCCUAACACAUGCAAGUCGAACGAAGUAUAUUUUCGAAAUAUGCUUAGUGGCGGACGGGUGAGUAACGCGUGAACAAUCUGCCCUGUACAGAGGAAUAGCCUCGGGAAACCGGGAUUAAAACCGCAUGAAACUAUAGCAUCGCAUGAUGCAUUAGUCAAAUUGAAUAAGAGGUAUAGGAUGAGUUCGCGUCUGAUUAGCUAGUUGGCGGGGUAACGGCCCACCAAGGCGACGAUCAGUAGCCGGCCUGAGAGGGUGAACGGCCACACUGGAACUGAGACACGGUCCAGACUCCUACGGGAGGCAGCAGUGGGGAAUAUUGCACAAUGGAAGGAAACUCUGAUGCAGCGACGCCGCGUGAGUGAAGAAGGUCUUCGGAUACGUAAAACUCUGUCCUUGGUGAACGAAAAAAUGACGGUAGCCAAGGAGGAACGCCCCGGCUAACUACGUGCCAGCCGCUGC
Molecule: ribosomal RNA, 492 nt
Filed under: uncultured bacterium
Lineage: Bacteria
Description: bacterial SSU rRNA
Rfam family: Bacterial small subunit ribosomal RNA
Source: RNAcentral